AGAGUUUGAUCAUGGCUCAGGAUGAACGCUAGCUACAGGCUUAACACAUGCAAGUCGAGGGGAAACGACAUCGAAAGCUUGCUUUUGAUGGGCGUCGACCGGCGCACGGGUGAGUAACGCGUAUCCAACCUGCCCACCACUUGGGGAUAACCUUGCGAAAGUAAGACUAAUACCCAAUGAUAUCUCUAGAAGACAUCUGAAAGAGAUUAAAGAUUUAUCGGUGAUGGAUGGGGAUGCGUCUGAUUAGCUUGUUGGCGGGGUAACGGCCCACCAAGGCAACGAUCAGUAGGGGUUCUGAGAGGAAGGUCCCCCACAUUGGAACUGAGACACGGUCCAAACUCCUACGGGAGGUAGCAGUGAGGAAUAUUGGUCAAUGGGCGAGAGCCUGAACCAGCCAAGUAGCGUGCAGGAAGACGGCCCUAUGGGUUGUAAACUGCUUUUAUAAGGGAAUAAAGUGAGUCUCGUGAGACUUUUUGCAUGUACCUUAUGAAUAAGGACCGGCUAAUUCCGUGCCAGCAGCCGCGGUAAUACGGAAGGUCCGGGCGUUAUCCGGAUUUAUUGGGUUUAAAGGGAGCGUAGGCCGGAGAUUAAGCGUGUUGUGAAAUGUAGACGCUCAACGUCUGCACUGCAGCGCGAACUGGUUUCCUUGAGUACGCACAAAGUGGGCGGAAUUCGUGGUGUAGCGGUGAAAUGCUUAGAUAUCACGAAGAACUCCGAUUGCGAAGGCAGCUCACUGGAGCGCAACUGACGCUGAAGCUCGAAAGUGCGGGUAUCGAACAGGAUUAGAUACCCUGGUAGUCCACGCCGUAAACGAUGAGUGCUAGGUGUUGGGUCCUUUCCGGGACUCAGUGCCGCAGCUAACGCAUUAAGCACUCCGCCUGGGGAGUACGACCGCAAGGUUGAAACUCAAAGGAAUUGACGGGGGCCCGCACAAGCGGUGGAGCAUGUGGUUUAAUUCGAAGCAACGCGAAGAACCUUACCAGGUCUUGACAUCCCUCUGACCGCUCUAGAGAUAGAGUUUUCCUUCGGGACAGAGGUGACAGGUGGUGCAUGGUUGUCGUCAGCUCGUGUCGUGAGAUGUUGGGUUAAGUCCCGCAACGAGCGCAACCCCUAUUGUUAGUUGCCAUCAUUGAGUUGGGCACUCUAGCGAGACUGCUGGUAAUAAACCGGAGGAAGGUGGGGAUGACGUCAAAUCAUCAUGCCCCUUAUGACCUGGGCUACACACGUGCUACAAUGGCUGGUACAACGAGUCGCGAGUCGGUGACGGCAAGCUAAUCUCUUAAAGCCAGUCUCAGUUCGGAUUGUAGGCUGCAACUCGCCUACAUGAAGUCGGAAUCGCUAGUAAUCGCGGAUCAGCACGCCGCGGUGAAUACGUUCCCGGGCCUUGUACACACCGCCCGUCACACCACGAGAGUUUGUAACACCCGAAGUCGGUGAGGUAACCAUUUGGAGCCAGCCGCCUAAGGUGGGAUAGAUGAUUGGGGUGAAGUCGUAACAAGGUA
Molecule: ribosomal RNA, 1502 nt
Filed under: metagenome
Description: bacterial SSU rRNA
Rfam family: Bacterial small subunit ribosomal RNA
Source: RNAcentral